CGUGCAAGUCGUAGCAUUUAUAGCUAUGCAGCUCGUGGGAUUUGAAUUUGUGACCACUCCAUCACAUAAUACCUCCUCUAACCACUACACUACACACUCACAUGUGUGUAAUUCAUUUCAGUUCCUUACAUAUUAUAUUAAACCGAGUUAUCAACUACAAAAUUUCAUAACUUUUCGAGAUCUACACUUUUUAUUCAGAAAUUUUCUCCAUCCAAGGUC
RNAcentral lists this long non-coding RNA (219 nucleotides) under Sorghum bicolor (sorghum). RNAcentral describes it as "long non-coding RNA (SBIC_LNC012615)". Lineage: Eukaryota; Viridiplantae; Streptophyta; Magnoliopsida; Poales; Poaceae. The record is from RNAcentral.